CUUUUUUCUUCUUUUCACUCUCUUUCUCUUCAGUGCAAAUGAUGACUUCCCCUUCUCCCUGUUUCCCAUCACCCCCUCCCAUUCCCCACCUCUCUUCUUCUUCAUCAUCACCUACAUCUACAACUAUAACAUCAAUGGAAAACUCACUCUAUUACUGUUAAUACAGCUAUUUACUAUUUUUGUAUAAUCACUCACUACUCCAGGAUUUUUCUUUCUUGACUAACUUUCCCCGUACUAACCCAAGCCCACCUCUUGCUCUUUCCCUUCUAUGUUCCAUCCCUAUUCCACAACCGACCUCGCUCCUCUCUUGGCCCAUCCCACCUCAAUUCUAGUUUUUUUUUAAUCCCUUUAUUUUCCUUUUUUCCCCGCUCGAAUACCCAUCAGGCCAUCACUCUGUUCCCAUGUUUUAUUUCGCUGUCUAAAUUAACAUACCUUGUGUUUUGAUCCUCUUAAAUUCCAUGGAUUCUCAGUAUAUUUCUUCUAAUUCUAGUGUUUUUCUUUUAAUAUGUGGCCUAAUCUUAAUGUCUAUUGUGUCGACUUUAGUAUCACUUAAUCCUUUCCAAUUUGAUCACUGCCUUCUUUUUAUACUGGAAUCUUCCUUCUUUUCUACUUCAAUUCCAAUUUCAUAUUUGAACUAGGUUCUCUUUUCUUUUCUUUCUCUCUCUCUCUCUCU
This 673-nucleotide unclassified non-coding RNA is filed under the name Hevea brasiliensis (rubber tree). The record is from RNAcentral. Lineage: Eukaryota; Viridiplantae; Streptophyta; Magnoliopsida; Malpighiales; Euphorbiaceae.